RNAcentral lists this ribosomal RNA (253 nucleotides) under uncultured bacterium. Its description in RNAcentral is "partial 16S ribosomal RNA". It matches the Rfam family "Bacterial small subunit ribosomal RNA", at positions 524 to 776 of the family's 1533-position model. The record is from RNAcentral.
UACGUAGGGUGCAAGCGUUGUCCGGAAUUAUUGGGCGUAAAGAGCUCGUAGGCGGUUUGUCGCGUCUGCUGUGAAAACCCGAGGCUCAACCUCGGGCCUGCAGUGGGUACGGGCAGACUAGAGUGCGGUAGGGGAGAUUGGAAUUCCUGGUGUAGCGGUGGAAUGCGCAGAUAUCAGGAGGAAUACCGAUGGCGAAGGCAGGUCUCUGGGCUAUAACUGACGCUCAUGCACGAAAGCGUGGGAAGCAAACAGG